UACGUAGGGGGCAAGCGUUAUCCGGAUUUAUUGGGCGUAAAGAGCUCGUAGGCGGCCGAUCGCGUCGGGUGUGAAAGCUCAGGGCUCAACCCUGAGACGCCAAUCGAUACGGAUCGGCUAGAGGUAGGUAGGGGAAAGUGGAAUUCCUGGUGUAGCGGUGAAAUGCGCAGAGAUCAGGAGGAACACCGGUGGCGAAGGCGGCUUUCUGGGCCUUACCUGACGCUGAGGAGCGAAAGCUGGGGGAGCAAACAGG
RNAcentral lists this ribosomal RNA (253 nucleotides) under uncultured bacterium. RNAcentral describes it as "partial 16S ribosomal RNA". It matches the Rfam family "Bacterial small subunit ribosomal RNA", at positions 524 to 776 of the family's 1533-position model. The record is from RNAcentral.